GAGUUUGAUCAUGGCUCAGAUUGAACGCUGGCGGCAGGCCUAACACAUGCAAGUCGAACGGUAACAGGAAACAGCUUGCUGUUUCGCUGACGAGUGGCGGACGGGUGAGUAAUGUCUGGGAAACUGCCUGAUGGAGGGGGAUAACUACUGGAAACGGUAGCUAAUACCGCAUAACGUCGCAAGACCAAAGAGGGGGACCUUCGGGCCUCUUGCCAUCAGAUGUGCCCAGAUGGGAUUAGCUAGUAGGUGGGGUAACGGCUCACCUAGGCGACGAUCCCUAGCUGGUCUGAGAGGAUGACCAGCCACACUGGAACUGAGACACGGUCCAGACUCCUACGGGAGGCAGCAGUGGGGAAUAUUGCACAAUGGGCGCAAGCCUGAUGCAGCCAUGCCGCGUGUAUGAAGAAGGCCUUCGGGUUGUAAAGUACUUUCAGCGGGGAGGAAGGGAGUAAAGUUAAUACCUUUGCUCAUUGACGUUACCCGCAGAAGAAGCACCGGCUAACUCCGUGCCAGCAGCCGCGGUAAUACGGAGGGUGCAAGCGUUAAUCGGAAUUACUGGGCGUAAAGCGCACGCAGGCGGUUUGUUAAGUCAGAUGUGAAAUCCCCGGGCUCAACCUGGGAACUGCAUCUGAUACUGGCAAGCUUGAGUCUCGUAGAGGGGGGUAGAAUUCCAGGUGUAGCGGUGAAAUGCGUAGAGAUCUGGAGGAAUACCGGUGGCGAAGGCGGCCCCCUGGACGAAGACUGACGCUCAGGUGCGAAAGCGUGGGGAGCAAACAGGAUUAGAUACCCUGGUAGUCCACGCCGUAAACGAUGUCGACUUGGAGGUUGUUCCCUUGAGGCGUGGCUUCCGGAGCUAACGCGUUAAGUCGACCGCCUGGGGAGUACGGCCGCAAGGUUAAACUCAAAUGAAUUGACGGGGGCCCGCACAAGCGGUGGAGCAUGUGGUUCAAUUCGAUGCAACGCGAAGAACCUUACCUGGUCUUGACAUCCACGGAAGUUUUCAGAGAUGAGAAUGUGCCUUCGGGAACCGUGAGACAGGUGCUGCAUGGCUGUCGUCAGCUCGUGUUGUGAAAUGUUGGGUUAAGUCCCGCAACGAGCGCAACCCUUAUCCUUUGUUGCCAGCGGUCCGGCCGGGAACUCAAAGGAGACUGCCAGUGAUAAACUGGAGGAAGGUGGGGAUGACGUCAAGUCAUCAUGGCCCUUACGACCAGGGCUACACACGUGCUACAAUGGCGCAUACAAAGAGAAGCGACCUCGCGAGAGCAAGCGGACCUCAUAAAGUGCGUCGUAGUCCGGAUUGGAGUCUGCAACUCGACUCCAUGAAGUCGGAAUCGCUAGUAAUCGUGGAUCAGAAUGCCACGGUGAAUACGUUCCCGGGCCUUGUACACACCGCCCGUCACACCAUGGGAGUGGGUUGCAAAAGAAGUAGGUAGCUUAACCUUCGGGAGGGCGCUUACCACUUUGUGAUUCAUGACUGGGGUGAAGUCGUAACAAGGUAACCGUAGGGGAACCUGCGGUUG
This 1520-nucleotide ribosomal RNA is filed under the name metagenome. RNAcentral's name for it is "bacterial SSU rRNA". It matches the Rfam family "Bacterial small subunit ribosomal RNA". The record is from RNAcentral.